AACGAACGCUGGCGGCAUGCCUAACACAUGCAAGUCGAACGAGACCUUCGGGUCUAGUGGCGCACGGGUGCGUAACGCGUGGGAACCUGCCCUUAGGUUCGGAAUAACUCCCCGAAAGGUGUGCUAAUACCGGAUAAUGUCUUCGGACCAAAGAUUUAUCGCCUUUGGAUGGGCCCGCGUUGGAUUAGCUAGUUGGUAGGGUAAAAGCCUACCAAGGCGACGAUCCAUAGCUGGUCUGAGAGGAUGAUCAGCGACACUGGAACUGAGACACGGCCCAGAAUCCUACGGGAGGGAGCAGAAGGGAAUAUUGGACAAUGGGCGAAAGCCUGAUACAGCAAUGCCGCGUGAGUGAUGAAGGCCUUAGGGUUGUAAAGCUCUUUUACCCGGGAUGAUAAUGACAGUACCGGGAGAAUAAGCUCCGGCUAACUCCGUG
Molecule: ribosomal RNA, 433 nt
Filed under: uncultured bacterium
Lineage: Bacteria
Description: partial 16S ribosomal RNA
Rfam family: Bacterial small subunit ribosomal RNA
Source: RNAcentral